AUUGAACGCUGGCGGCAGGCCUAACACAUGCAAGUCGAGCGGAGCGGCGGACGGGUGAGUAAUGCCUAGGAAUCUGCCUGGUCGCGGGGGAUAACGUCAGGUAACGGGCGCUAAUACCGCAACCUAUCAGCUGCGCAUAGGUCGGAUUCGCGUGUUGGGGGGUGAAAGGCCUACCAAGGCGACGGUCCAGAACUGGUCUGAGAGGAUGAUCCGUCAAACUGGAACGGAGACACGGUCCAGACUCCUACGGGAGGCAGCAGUGGGGAAUAUUGGACAAUGGGCGAAAGCCUGAUGCAGCCAUGCCGCGGGUGUGAAGAAGGUCUUCGGAUUGUAAAGCACUUUAAGUUGGGAGGCGUUACCUACAGAAGAAGCACCGGCUAACUUCGUGCCAGCAGCCGCGGUAAUUC
Molecule: ribosomal RNA, 407 nt
Filed under: uncultured bacterium
Lineage: Bacteria
Description: partial 16S ribosomal RNA
Rfam family: Bacterial small subunit ribosomal RNA
Source: RNAcentral